CAGUCGCCGCGGUAAUACGUAGGUGGCAAGCGUUGUCCGGAAUUAUUGGGCGUAAAGGGCUCGCAGGCGGUUCCUUAAGUCUGAUGUGAAAGCCCCCGGCUCAACCGGGGAGGGUCAUUGGAAACUGUUUAACUUGAGUGCAAGAGGGGAGAGUGGAAUUCCAUGUGUAGCGGUGAAAUGCGUAGAUAUAUGGAGGAGCACCGGUGGCGAAAGCGGCUCUCUGGUCUGUCACUGACGCUGAGGCUCGAAAGCGUGGGUAGCGAACAGGAUUAGAUACCCGAGUAGUCCCUGUCUCUUAUAC
Molecule: ribosomal RNA, 301 nt
Filed under: uncultured bacterium
Lineage: Bacteria
Description: partial 16S ribosomal RNA
Rfam family: Bacterial small subunit ribosomal RNA
Source: RNAcentral